CAGAAAAUAGUUUAUAAAAAUUUUAAUUUUGGAGAUUAAAGAUAAGAAAGAAAUUCUUUUUUCUGA
This 66-nucleotide transfer RNA is filed under the name Deporaus betulae. RNAcentral's name for it is "tRNA-Pro". Lineage: Eukaryota; Metazoa; Arthropoda; Insecta; Coleoptera; Attelabidae. The record is from RNAcentral.